This 393-nucleotide ribosomal RNA is filed under the name uncultured Cyclidiidae. Its description in RNAcentral is "partial small subunit ribosomal RNA". It matches the Rfam family "Eukaryotic small subunit ribosomal RNA", at positions 30 to 432 of the family's 1831-position model. Lineage: Eukaryota; Ciliophora; Oligohymenophorea; Pleuronematida; Cyclidiidae. The record is from RNAcentral.
GCUUGUCUCAAAGAUUAAGCCAUGCAUGUCUAAGUAUAAAUAGUAUACAGUGAAACUGCGAAUGGCUCAUUAAAACAGUGAUAGUUUAUUUGAUAGUGAAAGACUACAUGGAUAACCGUAGUAAUUCUAGAGCUAAUACAUGCUAAAAAACCUGACUUUUUGAAAGGUUGUAUUUAUUAGAUAUCAAGCCAAUAUUCCUUCGGGAUUAUUGUGAGGAAUCAUAGUAACUGAUCGAAUCUCUGCAUAGAGAUAAAUCAUUCAAGUUUCUGACCUAUCAGCUUUCGAUGGUAGGGUAUUGGCCUACCAUGGCUGUCACGGGUAACGGAGAAUUAGGGUUCGAUUCCGGAGAGGGAGCCUGAAAAAUGGCUACUAUAUUCUAAGGAAGGCAGCAGG